GAUGAACGCUGGCGGCGUGCCUAACACAUGCAAGUCGAACGAAAAGACGAGGAGCUUGCGCCUCUGUCGUUAGCGGAGGACGGGUGAGUCACACGUGGAUCACCCCCUUAUAUUUCUGGGAUAACUACGGGACACCGGAUCUAAUACCGGAUAAUAUAUUGAACCGCAUGGUGCAAUGGUGAAUGUCGGCUUUGCUGUCUGUAAUAGAUGCAUCCGAGCUGCAUGAGCUGGUUGGUAAGGUACCGGCCUACCAAGGCAACGAUGCGUAUCCGAGCGGAGGGGGGGAUCGGCCACACUGGAACUGGGACACGGACCAGAGUCCUACGGGAGGCAGCAGUAGGGAAUGUUCGGCAAUGGGCGAAAGCCUGACAGAGUGACGCCGCGUGAGUGGUGAAGGUCUUCGGAUCGUAAAGCUGUGUUAUGAGGGAAGAACAAAUGUGUAAGUAGCUAUGCACGUCUUGACGGUACCUAAUCAGGAAGCCACGGCUAACUACGUG
RNAcentral lists this ribosomal RNA (497 nucleotides) under uncultured bacterium. Its description in RNAcentral is "partial 16S ribosomal RNA". It matches the Rfam family "Bacterial small subunit ribosomal RNA", at positions 28 to 507 of the family's 1533-position model. The record is from RNAcentral.